RNAcentral lists this long non-coding RNA (418 nucleotides) under Salvia miltiorrhiza (redroot sage). RNAcentral's name for it is "long non-coding RNA (SMIL_LNC014029)". The record is from RNAcentral. Lineage: Eukaryota; Viridiplantae; Streptophyta; Magnoliopsida; Lamiales; Lamiaceae.
CUCAUUUCAAUUUUAGCUCUCUCUCUCUUCGUCUCUCAUCUUACGCUCUCUCUCUUCGUCUCUCAUCUUUCGCCAGCUUCACGCCGCCGCCUCCGGAGAAGAAGCCCGCGGCGAAGAAAUGACCGGCGGCCGAGAAAGCUUCAAGCUUGCGAAGGAGGGGGCGUCGCCGACAAGAAGAAGCUUGCUCGCUGCUACCAGUAGCCGACACCUUUGGCCUCACUCCUUCCUCCAGCGCGCCGCCCUCCUCUAACACUCCGCUUUCCUCCAGCGCCGCCUCCAUCGUCGUCGACAUGGUCGGCCUCGCGGAGAAGAAGCCUCGUGGAUUUGGGGACGAAGGGAAGUCGACGGUGAGUUUGGGGAUUUAGGGCUCCGAUUUGGGGCUCCACCAUCUCCCACUGCCAUCGUCCUUCCACCGCCC